MicroRNA precursor from Medicago truncatula (barrel medic), 197 nucleotides. It matches the Rfam family "MIR2619 microRNA precursor family". The record is from Rfam. Lineage: Eukaryota; Viridiplantae; Streptophyta; Magnoliopsida; Fabales; Fabaceae.
AAACAGCCCCCUAUGUAUUGGUUCUUUGGCAGUUUUGACCCCCGAGACCACUUUUGACUUAGUCUUCGCUGACGUGGCACCCACAAUGGUCGACAUGUGGCACCUCACUUAAGGGAUGUGGGUGCCACAUCAGCGAAGAUUGAGUCAAAAGUGACGGGGCCAAAACUGCCAAAGAUCCAAUACAUAGGGGGCUGUUU